Molecule: regulatory RNA element, 50 nt
Organism: Agrobacterium tumefaciens
Lineage: Bacteria; Pseudomonadati; Pseudomonadota; Alphaproteobacteria; Hyphomicrobiales; Rhizobiaceae
Rfam family: Guanidine-II riboswitch aptamer (mini-ykkC)
About the family: Simpler in structure and has fewer highly conserved nucleotide positions than the ykkC-yxkD leader.
Source: Rfam
GCGCGAGGACGACCUCGGCCAAAUCGGCGACAGCAUGCGGGACGGCCCGG